This 510-nucleotide ribosomal RNA is filed under the name uncultured bacterium. RNAcentral's name for it is "bacterial SSU rRNA". It matches the Rfam family "Bacterial small subunit ribosomal RNA", at positions 29 to 531 of the family's 1533-position model. The record is from RNAcentral.
AACGAACGCUGGCGGUAUGCUUAACACAUGCAAGUCGAGGGGCAGCGCGAUGUAGCAAUACAUUGGCGGCGACCGGCGCACGGGUGCGUAACACGUAUGGAACUUACCCUUUACUGGGAGAUAGCCCGGAGAAAUCCGGAUUAAUAUCCCAUAAUAAACGAAGUGGCAUCACUUUGUUUUGAAAGCUCCGGCGGUAAAGGAUGGCCAUGCGCACGAUUAGCUAGUAGGUGAGGUAACGGCUCACCUAGGCUACGAUCGUUAGGGGGCCUGAGAGGGUUAUCCCCCACACUGGUACUGAGACACGGACCAGACUCCUACGGGAGGCAGCAGUGAGGAAUAUUGCGCAAUGGAGGCAACUCUGACGCAGCCAUGCCGCGUGCAGGAAGAAGGCGCUACGCGUUGUAAACUGCUUUUAACCGGGAGAAACCCUCCGACGUGUCGGAGGUUGACGGUACCGGAGGAAUAAGCACCGGCUAACUUCGUGCCAGCAGCCGCGGUAAAGUCUGUACU